Molecule: ribosomal RNA, 253 nt
Filed under: uncultured bacterium
Lineage: Bacteria
Description: partial 16S ribosomal RNA
Rfam family: Bacterial small subunit ribosomal RNA
Source: RNAcentral
GACGGAGGGUGCUAGCGUUGUUCGGAAUUACUGGGCGUAAAGGGCUCGUAGGCGGCCAACUAAGUCAGACGUGAAAUCCCUAGGCUCAACCUAGGAACUGCGUCUGAUACUGGAUGGCUUGAAUCCGGGAGAGGGAUGCAGAAUUCCAGGUGUAGCGGUGAAAUGCGUAGAUAUCUGGAGGAAUACCGGUGGCGAAGGCGGCAUCCUGGACCGGCAUUGACGCUGAGGAGCGAAAGCCAGGGGAGCAAACGGG